UCAAAGGAUCAUAAUCUUUGAAAUCUUUUGGCCGAUGGAUCAUCUUUUGGUAGGAUAAAUAGGUUGAGAGUCAUGAGCCGAGAGCCAAAUUGAGAGUCGUAAGCCGAGGACCAAACUGUGAGAGUCCUAAGCCGAGGUAAGUUUGGUGCUACCUCUUUAUUUUCUUUAUUAUUUACUUAUGAAGAAUUGUGAUUGAGAGAAGAAUUAUUGAAUUGAUAAUCGUAGAAUAGAUUAUGGGUUGAAUGAAGACAGAAGUAGUAAGUCCAAGUAUUUUGUAGUUUGAUACUUGAUAUUAGAUAGCCAGAAUAUAGUCAAUUGUGACACUAAUAGACCCAAUUUAUAUAACUAAUCUUUCUCCAUGUUCGAACCUAUCUCUAAUAGUUCAAGUGUUUUGAUCUAUUGAAGCUUGAAUGCAGCAAAAACAACACUAUGAUUGCUUAAUUCACCUUCAAGAAGGAACAUAACUGCUAUUUGGACCAAUCUAUAAUUUAUCACAAAAUGAGGUCGUCAAACUCAAAUUAUAUAUUGAAGAGAAUCUUGCUAAGAACUUCAUAUGCUAUUUCAAAUCUCGAGCAGGAGGCCCAAUUCUAUUUGUGAAGAAAAUAGAUGAAUCAUUAUGGAUGUAUAU
This 628-nucleotide long non-coding RNA is filed under the name Physcomitrium patens. RNAcentral describes it as "long non-coding RNA (PPAT_LNC009033)". The record is from RNAcentral. Lineage: Eukaryota; Viridiplantae; Streptophyta; Bryopsida; Funariales; Funariaceae.